Olea europaea var. sylvestris is the source of this 2034-nucleotide long non-coding RNA. RefSeq lists it as uncharacterized. Lineage: Eukaryota; Viridiplantae; Streptophyta; Magnoliopsida; Lamiales; Oleaceae. The transcript is spliced from 2 exons. The record is from RefSeq and is a predicted model, not a curated record.
AUUUUCUUGUUUAUGUAAUUUUUUCUUCUUACAGUUUCAUGUGAUCUUAGAAAAAAAUUGAGUCGACUCUUGACUCUUCCCAGUUAGUUGCGUAGUUCUGUAUGAAGCUUCACUUUUUUCUUCGCUAUCGGUUUGUUCCAUUUCUGUGCUGCUUAGGUGCACCGUUAGAAGGCCUCUUUUAUGCCAUUCCUGUGCAACUUAGUUGCAAGGAGAAAAAAGCAUCUUUUGAGGUCAAAAGAAGCAUUGGGAUGUAAUAUGGUCUGGUCGAUUUUGGGGGAUACCUGAGUGUGCUGAGCCUCUUGGAGGAACUUACUGGAAUUUAUUCUUGCCUUUUCAAAUAGUAAGGUCCUACGCUCUUGGUAGCCAUCUAUUCAUUUUUUGCCUUGGAUACAUUCAUUGACUUAAUUCUUGCCUUUUCAAAGUCGAUAAGGGAUAGUUUCUCCUUUUUUCUAGUUAACCAUGUGAUUAUCGUGGGGGAAAUCUUCAAAAGAAGUGAAGAAUAAAACAAAACGGGGAAGUUUCAUUGAUACACGACAUAGGAAAUGCAUUAGGCCAGGAGCUCCUCGAAGAUGUCGUCGUGAUACUACUUCUGAAAGAAUAUCUCAAUCAAGGGACAUUCACAAUCACCAUCGUCACAAGUGUUGUGCUCCUUAAGUUUUGCUGCUAAACCUAGGCCAAACCACUUCCUUUUCUAGUGGGUCACCUUGCUAAUCUUUAUCUUGCUAAUUUUUAACCAGUGCAUUAAUAGAAUUGGAAACUGAUGGAGGUUCCAAUCUUCUUUGUUACCGCCCAUCCCUGAACCUGCACUCGUACCAAAUGGGCCACCUGUUACAGAUGGUGAGGAGACCUGGCAACUGCUGCUACUCCCUGUGAUGGUUCCAGUAAUAUGGAGGUUCAUCCCACUCACAUCUCCUAAGCCCUCAAGCAUCUGAUUAUGAGAUUGGGAUUAAAUCUGAUACAGGUAGUCCUUCCAGGUGACUUGGCCUGUCACAAACAGCAAUUUUUUUUUUUUUUUUUGAAUAUUCAACUUGAAAUAUUUCCUGUUUAUAUAAGCGGAUUUAUUUCCUUCCUACAAUUCCUUCAUGUUUAUUUUUUGUUGAUGUAAUCUCAGAAGAAAAUAUGAACUGACUCUUUAACUCUUACAAGUUUAACUGAUUCUGUUAAAAUCAUUUCCAUAGUUUUGUAUGAAGUUGCACUCUUUCUUGGCGAUCGGUUUGUUCCAUUCCUAUGCAGUUUAGGUGCAAGGAGAAGGCCUCUUUUGUGCCAUUCCUGUGCAGCUUAGGUGCAAGGAGAAGAAGGCCUCUUUUGAGGUCAAAAGAACACUUGCAUGCACCAUAGGGAUAAUAUUAUACCUUCAUGUCCCUGCAACACCUGCUGUUGUUAGUUGCAUGGUGUUAUAUGAAGCUGCACUCUCGGUCUGGGAUAGGUUUGUGCCAUUCUUGUGCAGCUUAGGAGCAAGGGAAAAAAGACCUCCUUUGUGCCAUUCCUGUGCAGCUUAGAUGCAAGGUGAAGAAGGCCUCAUUUGAGGUUAAUGGAACUUUUGCACGCAUGUGCAUAGGGAUGUCAUAUGGCCGAUCUAUCUUUGGGGAGACAUUGCCCACGUACCUUAAAUUUUAGAAUGUUUAAGCAAUAAGUUUUUCCUUUUAUAUUUAACCAUGUGGUUGAGGUGGGGGAAGUCUUCGAACGUAGUGAAGAACAAAGCAAAAUAGGAAGUUUCAUCACUACACUACAAUGAUCAAGUCAAUUGACGAUGAUGAAAUAUAUUGUAUGGGACGUUAAGCAAUGUCAACCAUCGGGAAAUGGAAUGUGAAAAUGAGAGAGGAGGGGCAAUGUAUAUGGUUAAGUGUCUAUAUCAGCAUUACCUUUAAAAUGACAAUGAGGAAGACUAUUAUACAUAUUGUGAUAAUGCUCCAUUCACUUUACUAACACAUACAACAUAGUGAUACAGCGCUAUGGUUUUGAAUUAAACUCUCUCACAUGUUUGCAUGUGAAUUUGGACUAUUUAUUGUGUUAAAUAAAUUUUUGGGCUAGGCA